Molecule: ribosomal RNA, 347 nt
Filed under: uncultured bacterium
Lineage: Bacteria
Description: partial 16S ribosomal RNA
Rfam family: Bacterial small subunit ribosomal RNA
Source: RNAcentral
CCUACGGGGGGCUGCAGUGAGGAAUAUUGGUCAAUGGGCGCGAGCCUGAACCAGCCAAGUAGCGUGAAGGAUGAAUGCCCUACGGGGUGUAAACUUCGUUUAUAAAGGAAUAAAGUGAGGCACGUGUGCCGUUUUGUAUGUACUUUAUGAAUAAGGAUCGGCUAACUCCGUGCCAGCAGCCGCGGUAAUACGGAGGAUCCGAGCGUUAUCCGGAUUGAUUGGGUUUAAAGGGAGCGUAGAUGGUUUGUUACGUCAGUUGUGAAAGUUUGCGGCUCAACCGUAAAAGUGCCAUUGAUACUGGCAGUCUUGCGUACAGUUGCGGUAGGCGGCAUUCGUGGUGUAGCGUU